CAAACAUAAACACUUUAGGCUCUCUAUCGACAUCUGUAGUUGAAACUUAAAAUUGCCUGUUAAAGUUCAUAAAGUAACAUGCAGAGGAUUUUAUAUAAACUGUGCUUUAAGCUCUGCUCUUCUGUUGGGAUAAAUCGGAUGGUUUGAUGUGCAAAGCACAGCUAGGCCCACCUUUGUACCUUAUCACCCCCUACAUAAUAUGCACAUUUUAUGUAUCGCCUGAAAAAGUAAGCAGCAGAUCUGCAUGAUGUAGAAGACAUGACGUAAACACGCAAAGACGUCACACAAAAUAGGCGCCAUUCACACAUGCAAUGAAUUGGUGCAGGGCCAAGAAAGGAUUUUAAGUUUUAGGGCGAUUACAAACAUCUGUAGAUUAGUAAAAGUUGAAUAGAUGUGAAUUUCCAAGGACAAGAAUCAGAUACAUCGACUUUUGAGUGUACACCAUUAACUGAUCGACGACAGUUUUAGUUGCCUCUCCGACAUCUCCGUCACUGAAGCCAUGAGUGUGACAGAAGUAGAAAACAGAGGAGGGAUUCGCCCUGAAGCUGGUUUUGAUAAUACAAACACAUCUGGAGUUUCCGUUCAGUAUGUGGACAACCAAGAAGGGAUUUCUGAAGGCACAUUUGAGCAGGAUAAUAUAUUAAUCGAGCCUACUGUAGAGCUUUCAGUGCAAUGCAUGGAGAACCAGAGAGGCCUUCAUGGGCAAAUUUUGUAUGAUGAUGUGUCAUACCCCAUCCAUCUCCAUCCUCAGGCUGAGCCAGAUAUUGAUGAUGAAGGCAUUGUAGUUGACAUGGAAGAAGAUGAAGGACAGGAAUUGCACUAAUGUGUAUUUGAUGCGACGAAAGGUUUAGCACCUCUAAGUUAUGAAGUUAACAUGGAAUGAGAUAAGAACGAGAUUGAUUCCGGGGACUGACUUUGAUUAUCCAUGUUAAAUAGUGUGGAAACUAAAUAUUUCACAGGCACUUUUUUUUAAGGUAAUGUGUUCAAACUGAAAUGAAGGAAAGUAAGGAAGGACAAAUAUUACUGCCCACUAAAUUAUAGCUAUAAAUCAAGUUUAUGUAAUUAGAUUUUGUUUUAUAAACAAAAUGCUUAUAAACAGUAUUUGUUUGAGUGUUGAACAAUGACAGAAGAGAAGACAUUACUUCUGUUGCCAAAAUUGUUUUCUUAAUAUGAAUCAAACUUUUGGAACUUCUUGUAAGGGGAAGUUGUUAUAAUAUUAGUUUUGUCUGUUGCUAUGUGUUAUGUGAGUAUGCUGCUAAAAGAUGACUGAAUAAACGUUCAACACUUU
RNAcentral lists this long non-coding RNA (1288 nucleotides) under Sinocyclocheilus anshuiensis. RNAcentral's name for it is "lncRNA (ENSSANG00000027015.1)". Lineage: Eukaryota; Metazoa; Chordata; Actinopteri; Cypriniformes; Cyprinidae. The record is from RNAcentral.